This 398-nucleotide ribosomal RNA is filed under the name Imbricatea sp. Its description in RNAcentral is "partial small subunit ribosomal RNA". It matches the Rfam family "Eukaryotic small subunit ribosomal RNA", at positions 582 to 975 of the family's 1831-position model. The record is from RNAcentral. Lineage: Eukaryota; Cercozoa; Imbricatea.
AUUCCAGCUCCAGUAGCGUAUAUUAAUGUUGUUGCAGUUAAAAAGCUCGUAGUUGGAUUUCUGACUUGACGCGCCUGGCCCGCCUUGCAUUUCGCGGGUGAGUGCCGGAGCGCGUCGGUCAUCCUUCUAGAGAACGGCGCUACCCUUCACUGGGUCGGCGUCGCAAUCUAGAUCUUUUACUUUGAAAAAAUUAGAGUGUUCAAGGCAGGCUCGCGCUGUGAAUACAUUAGCAUGGAAUAAUAAUCUAGGACUUUGUUCCUAUUUUGUUGGUUUCUAGGAAUUAAGUAAUGAUUGAUAGGGAUAGUUGGGGGUGCUAGCAUUCAGCGGCCAGAGGUGAAAUUCUUGGAUUCGCUGAAGACUAACUUAUGCGAAAGCAUUCACCAAGGAUGUCUUCAUCA